This 899-nucleotide ribosomal RNA is filed under the name Arthrobacter sp. Its description in RNAcentral is "bacterial SSU rRNA". It matches the Rfam family "Bacterial small subunit ribosomal RNA", at positions 93 to 1000 of the family's 1533-position model. Lineage: Bacteria; Bacillati; Actinomycetota; Actinomycetes; Micrococcales; Micrococcaceae. The record is from RNAcentral.
UAGUGGCGAACGGGUGAGUAACACGUGAGUAACCUGCCCUUGACUCUGGGAUAAGCCUGGGAAACUGGGUCUAAUACCGGAUAUGACUGCUCCGCGCAUGCGGUGGUGGUGGAAAGCUUUUGCGGUUUUGGAUGGACUCGCGGCCUAUCAGCUUGUUGGUGGGGUAAUGGCCUACCAAGGCGACGACGGGUAGCCGGCCUGAGAGGGUGACCGGCCACACUGGGACUGAGACACGGCCCAGACUCCUACGGGAGGCAGCAGUGGGGAAUAUUGCACAAUGGGCGAAAGCCUGAUGCAGCGACGCCGCGUGAGGGAUGACGGCCUUCGGGUUGUAAACCUCUUUCAGUAGGGAAGAAGCUUUCGGGUGACGGUACCUGCAGAAGAAGCGCCGGCUAACUACGUGCCAGCAGCCGCGGUAAUACGUAGGGCGCAAGCGUUAUCCGGAAUUAUUGGGCGUAAAGAGCUCGUAGGCGGUUUGUCGCGUCUGCUGUGAAAGACCGGGGCUCAACUCCGGUUCUGCAGUGGGUACGGGCAGACUAGAGUGAUGUAGGGGAGACUGGAAUUCCUGGUGUAGCGGUGAAAUGCGCAGAUAUCAGGAGGAACACCGAUGGCGAAGGCAGGUCUCUGGGCAUUAACUGACGCUGAGGAGCGAAAGCAUGGGGAGCGAACAGGAUUAGAUACCCUGGUAGUCCAUGCCGUAAACGUUGGGCACUAGGUGUGGGGGACAUUCCACGUUUUCCGCGCCGUAGCUAACGCAUUAAGUGCCCCGCCUGGGGAGUACGGCCGCAAGGCUAAAACUCAAAGGAAUUGACGGGGGCCCGCACAAGCGGCGGAGCAUGCGGAUUAAUUCGAUGCAACGCGAAGAACCUUACCAAGGCUUGACAUGGACUAGUAAAGCG